UACAGAGGUCCCAAGCGUUGUUCGGAUUCACUGGGCGUAAAGGGUGCGUAGGUGGUGAGGUAAGUCGGAUGUGAAAUCUCCAGGCUCAACCUGGAAAUGGCAUCGGAAACUGCCUUGCUCGAGGUUUGGAGGGGGGACUGGAAUACUUGGUGUAGCAGUGAAAUGCGUAGAUAUCAAGUGGAACACCAGUGGCGAAGGCGAGUCCCUGGACAAAACCUGACACUGAGGCACGAAAGCUAGGGGAGCAAACAGG
Molecule: ribosomal RNA, 253 nt
Filed under: uncultured bacterium
Lineage: Bacteria
Description: partial 16S ribosomal RNA
Rfam family: Bacterial small subunit ribosomal RNA
Source: RNAcentral